Molecule: ribosomal RNA, 197 nt
Filed under: Micropeltidaceae sp.
Lineage: Eukaryota; Fungi; Ascomycota; Lecanoromycetes; Micropeltidales; Micropeltidaceae
Description: partial large subunit ribosomal RNA
Source: RNAcentral
AAGCGCUUGCCCCCAGACUUAUUUGCGGUGUUCCGCCGGUCUUUUGACCGGUCCACUCGCCGUAUAUAGGCCAGCAUCGUCUGGGGCCGCCGGAGAAAGGCGUCGGGAAUGUAGCUCCUCGGAGUAUUAUAGCCCGUCGCACAAUACGGCGUGCCCCGGGCGAGGUCCGCGCUUCGGCUAGGAUGCUGGCGUAAUGG